UACCCAACUUUACGAAAAAUUGCACGUGAUGUCCUUGCUAUUCCAGUGACAACGGUGGCAUCCGAGUCAGUCUUUAGCACUAGUGGCAGAAUAAUCAGUCCACAUCGUAGUAGGCUUGCCCCAUCAAUGGUUGAAGCACUUAUGUGUAUGCAAGCAUGGUCUCAGGCCGAUAUGUUAGGAUCUCAGUCUACUUUCGUUGGUGCUUUGAUGACUUGUCUUGAUGAAAAAGAUGAAGAAAUGGAUGAAGAUGAUUCCACCAUAAUUGAUGAAUGAAUGA
This is a long non-coding RNA of Panicum virgatum (switchgrass), 277 nucleotides long. RefSeq lists it as uncharacterized. The transcript is spliced from 3 exons. NCBI's taxonomy places the organism in Eukaryota, Viridiplantae, Streptophyta, Magnoliopsida, Poales, Poaceae. The record is from RefSeq and is a predicted model, not a curated record.